This 317-nucleotide long non-coding RNA is filed under the name Mytilus galloprovincialis (Mediterranean mussel). The record is from RNAcentral. Lineage: Eukaryota; Metazoa; Mollusca; Bivalvia; Mytilida; Mytilidae.
AAAACUCAACAUUGUCCAAUGAACCCAUGACAUUUAGCUCAAUGUCUGAUGAACCCUGCCAGUCAGACAUACAUGACAUAGACUCAAUUGUUCCAUUCUGUCUAUACAUGUACAUUAAAUAUACAUGAAGUUGAUCUACUGGAGUACUGUAUUAAGGCCAAAAUAAUUUUAUUGCAUGUUUCUGGUUUCCCCGACCAUACCUCCGUUUCUAGCCCACCCUAAACAAUGUAUUCAUCAUACAUGUACAUGUCAUAUUCAUCAUUUGAUGUCUUUCCACAUCAGAUAACUUGUGUGAAUGAUAAUUACAAAUAUCACUC